RNAcentral lists this ribosomal RNA (253 nucleotides) under uncultured bacterium. RNAcentral describes it as "partial 16S ribosomal RNA". It matches the Rfam family "Bacterial small subunit ribosomal RNA", at positions 524 to 776 of the family's 1533-position model. The record is from RNAcentral.
UACGUAGGUGGCAAGCGUUGUCCGGAAUUAUUGGGCGUAAAGCGCGCGCAGGCGGUUCCUUAAGUCUGAUGUGAAAGCCCACGGCUCAACCGUGGAGGGUCAUUGGAAACUGGGGAACUUGAGUGCAGAAGAGAAGAGCGGAAUUCCACGUGUAGCGGUGAAAUGCGUAGAGAUGUGGAGGAACACCAGUGGCGAAGGCGGCUCUUUGGUCUGUAACUGACGCUGAGGCGCGAAAGCGUGGGGAGCGAACAGG